AUACGGAGGGUCCAAGCGUUAUCCGGAAUCAUUGGGUUUAAAGGGUCCGCAGGCGGUCAAUUAAGUCAGAGGUGAAAGCCCAUCGCUCAACGAUGGAACUGCCUUUGACACUGGUUGACUUGAGUUAUACGGAAGUAGAUAGAAUAAGUAGUGUAGCGGUGAAAUGCAUAGAUAUUACUAAGAAUACCGAUUGCGAAGGCAGUCUACUACGUAUAUACUGACGCUGAGGGACGAAAGCGGGGGGAGCGAACAGGAUUAGAAACCCGGGUAGUCC
RNAcentral lists this ribosomal RNA (274 nucleotides) under uncultured bacterium. Its description in RNAcentral is "partial 16S ribosomal RNA". It matches the Rfam family "Bacterial small subunit ribosomal RNA", at positions 523 to 796 of the family's 1533-position model. The record is from RNAcentral.